GGGGUGAUGGCGUAGCUGGUGGCGCGGCGCCCGGUGGGGCCGGUGAGCUCGCCGUCGGUGGUUAUGAGCCCAUCGCGCUCUA
This 82-nucleotide transfer RNA is filed under the name Corynebacterium aurimucosum. RNAcentral's name for it is "tRNA-OTHER". The record is from RNAcentral. Lineage: Bacteria; Bacillati; Actinomycetota; Actinomycetes; Mycobacteriales; Corynebacteriaceae. RNAcentral also lists the same sequence under 1 other name.